Non-coding RNA from Podarcis lilfordi (Lilford's wall lizard), 78 nucleotides. Lineage: Eukaryota; Metazoa; Chordata; Lepidosauria; Squamata; Lacertidae. The record is from the annotation of a GenBank genome assembly.
GGAGAAGGCUUGUAACGCAAUGGUAAGAGCAUCUGCUUUGGAUGCAGAUGGUCCCAGGUUCAAUCCCCGGCAUCUCCA